GAUGAAGAACGUAGCGAAAUGCGAUACGUAAUGUGAAUUGCAGAAUUCAGUGAAUCAUCGAAUCUUUGAACGCAUAUUGCGCUCUUUGGUAUUCCGAAGAGCAUGCUUGUUUGAGUAUCAGUAAACACCUCAAAGACUUCAAUUUGUUUUGAAUGGCUUUGGACUUGAGCAAUCCCAACACCAGUCUUUACGAUCGGUGGAGGGUUGCUUGAAAUGCAGGUGCAGCUGGACAUUCUCCUGAGCUAAAAGCAUAUUUAUUUAGUCCCGUCAAACGGAUUAUUACUUUUGCUGCAGCUAACAUAAAGGGAGUUUGACCGUAUUGGCUUACUGAUGCAAGAUUUCACAAGGGUCGGCAACGAUUCUUGUAAAACUCGAUCUCAAAUCAAGUAAGACUACCCGCUGAACUUAAGCAUAUCAAUAAGCGGAGGA
Molecule: unclassified non-coding RNA, 429 nt
Filed under: soil metagenome
Description: partial contains 5.8S ribosomal RNA, internal transcribed spacer 2, and large subunit ribosomal RNA
Rfam family: 5.8S ribosomal RNA (bases 1-120)
Source: RNAcentral